AUUAGAUACCCUAUUAUUUAAAAUGUAAAUUUAUUAUGCUAAAUUAGUAUUAGUUACGUUCUUGAAAAUUAAAAAAUUUGGCGGUAUUUUAGUCUAUUCAGAGGAACCUGCCCUGUAAUUGAUAGUCCACGAUUAGAUAAACUUUAUUUAUUAGUUUGCAUAUCGUCGUAGUUAGAAUAUUUUAUUAGAAUAGUAAUAUUCAAGAUUUUUCAUUAAAAAGUAAAUCAGAUCAAGGUGUAGUUUAUAAUAAAGGAAGGUGGGUUACAAUAAAUUUAUUUUAGGAUAAUUUUUAUUAUAGAAAUUUGAAUAUGGAUUUGAAAGUAAUUUUAAUUUUUUUUUUAAAAUGAUUAUAGCUCUAAAAUAUGCAC
This 368-nucleotide ribosomal RNA is filed under the name Acanthoscelides puellus. RNAcentral describes it as "partial 12S small subunit ribosomal RNA". The record is from RNAcentral. Lineage: Eukaryota; Metazoa; Arthropoda; Insecta; Coleoptera; Chrysomelidae.